UUGCGGGAAAAGUCCCGCGUGAAAACAGUUUGUCUGUGCAAGUGUUGGGCACUGAGCACGCGCGCAUGGGCAUACAGUGGCUGCAAGGCGUGCGUACAACGUGCACGUCCCAUCCGCACGCACGCACGCACAUUCCAUCUGUUGCCUUAGUUGGCGCGCCACCACCGUAGGUGGAGGAAAUUUUUCUCCCUUAUUGUUGGUGCCAUAAAUCUUUUCUCCUCUUUCUUCACCAGAUUUCACCACUUGACACGAAUUCAAUGGUUUUGAAAUUCUAGAAAUUUUCCUUCUGCGUCUGUUCUUUCUACACUUCCAAUUAUCCUAUUUCUCAAAGGUUUAGAG
RNAcentral lists this long non-coding RNA (339 nucleotides) under Carica papaya (papaya). RNAcentral's name for it is "long non-coding RNA (CPAP_LNC004356)". Lineage: Eukaryota; Viridiplantae; Streptophyta; Magnoliopsida; Brassicales; Caricaceae. The record is from RNAcentral.